RNAcentral lists this transfer-messenger RNA (355 nucleotides) under Leuconostoc litchii. It matches the Rfam family "transfer-messenger RNA". From Rfam's summary of the family: Bacterial tmRNA, also known as 10Sa RNA or SsrA, is named for its dual tRNA and mRNA-like properties. Its role is to liberate the mRNA from a stalled ribosome. To accomplish this part of the tmRNA is used as a reading frame that ends in a translation stop signal. Lineage: Bacteria; Bacillati; Bacillota; Bacilli; Lactobacillales; Lactobacillaceae. The record is from RNAcentral.
GGGUCUGUUUUUGGAAUUCGACAGGUUACUUAGAGCAUUGAUUGCGUUUCGCCGUCCGGGCGCAAAACGGGCAGAAAUUUUAACUGCAAAAAACGAAAACUCUUUCGCUAUCGCUGCCUAAAACACAGUGAUGCGUAGCUUAAUCUUGGUUGCUGGUGUCUGAGAUUAGGCCAUAAAAAGCCAGAUCGUGGUGGUCUUUACAUCUGGAAGAACAUCAUUAAAUUAAUCAGAUUAGUUGUAUUGGUUGGCCUUGAGCUGCGGCGUACGGUACAAUGAAAUUUAAGUAGUGGCUCUAUAAGCGUAGAUAUUGAUGUAUCAGGUGAUUUGGACAGGGGUUCGACUCCCCUCAGAUCCA